RNAcentral lists this ribosomal RNA (2363 nucleotides) under marine metagenome. RNAcentral's name for it is "bacterial LSU rRNA". It matches the Rfam family "Bacterial large subunit ribosomal RNA", at positions 608 to 2925 of the family's 2925-position model. The record is from RNAcentral.
UUGCAUAAUGAGCCAGCGAGUUGCUCGUAUGUUGCAAGGUUAAUCCCCUAAAGGGAGAAGCCGUAGCGAAAGCAAGUCUGAAUAGGGCGAUUAAGUAACAUGCGGCAGACCCGAAGCCAAGUGAUCUAUCCAUGGCCAGGUUGAAGCGGCAGUAACAUGUCGUGGAGGACCGAACCCACCAGGGUUGAAAACCUGGGGGAUGAGCUGUGGAUAGGGGUGAAAGGCCAAUCAAACUUGGCGAUAUCUGGUUCUCCCCGAAAUGCCUUUAGGGGCAGCGUCGUGGGAGUGCCUCGGGGGUAGAGCACUGGAUGGACUAGGGGCCCUACAAGGUUACCAAACCCAACCAAACUCCGAAUACCGAGGUUAUGAUCUACGGCAGUGAGGCCGCGGGGGAUAAGCUUCGUGGCCGAGAGGGAAACAACCCAGACCAACAGCUAAGGUCCCAAAAUCUGAGUUAAGUGACAAAGGAUGUGAGAUUGCCCAGACAGCUAGGAGGUUGGCUUAGAAGCAGCCAUCCUUUAAAGAAAGCGUAACAGCUCACUAGUCAAGGAAUCUUGCGCCGAUAAUCUCCGGGACUUUAAAACUCAGUACCGAAGCUCUGGUCCCGACAUCUUGUGUGUCGGGAGGUAGGGGAGCGUUCCAUCAACCUGUGAAGUUCCAGCCGGGAGGCGGAAUGGAGGAAAUGGAAGUGAGAAUGCUGGCAUGAGUAGCGAUAAUUCCAGUGAAAUUCUGGGACACCGAAAGCCUAAGGUUUCCUGAGUAAAGUAACUCUACUCAGGGUUAGUCGGUUCCUAAGCCGAGGCCGAAAGGCGUAGGCGAUGGAUAACAGGUCAACAUUCCUGUACCACCCACUUAUCGUUUGAACGAUGGGGGGACGCAGAAGUGAAAGAUCAGCCCGGUUUUGAUUGUCCGGGUUUAAGUGUGUAGAGAGUUUCGGCAGGCAAAUCCACCGGAAUAAUCUUGAGACACGAAUAGGAGGGCCUAGCCCACAAACUGAUCCUAAUCAUACUGCCAAGAAAAUCCUCUAAGUGAGAUGAUUGGGUGACCGUACCGUAAUCGGACACACGUAGGCGAGAAGAGUAUUCUAAGGUGCUUGGUUUAAUCCUGGUAAAGGAACUCGGCAAAUUGGCCCCGUAACUUCGGGAGAAGGGGCGCCUCCAGUAGGUUGAAGGCCUUCGCGGCUGAAGCCCAAAGAGGUCGCAGAGAAUAGACUCGGGCGACUGUUUACCAAAAACACAGGUCUCUGCUAAGUCGCAAGACGAAAUAUAGGGACUGACACCUGCCCGGUGCCGGAAGGUUAAGUAGAGGGGUUAUCCCGAACUUGUUCGGGAGAAGCUCUGAAACGAAGCCCCGGUGAACGGCGGCCGUAACUAUAACGGUCCUAAGGUAGCGAAAUUCCUUGUCGGGUAAGUUCCGACCCGCACGAAUGGUGUAACGACUUGAGUACUGUCUCUACCAGGAGACCAGCGAAAUUGUAGCGUCGGUGAAGAUGCCGGCUAACCGCGGCAGGACGGAAAGACCCCGUGAACCUUUACUAUAACCUGAUAUUGGGUUUUGGUUCUGUAUGUGCAGGAUAGGUGGGAGGCUUUGAAGCUUCGACGCUAGUCGGGGUGGAGCCAACCUUGAAAUACCACCCUUAUAUUGCUGAAAUUCUAAUUCCGACCCUUGAAUCAGGGCGGGAAACAGUGUCAGGCGGGUAGUUUGACUGGGGCGGUCUCCUCCUAAAAUGUAACGGAGGAGCCCAAAGGUUCCCUCAGCACGGACGGUAAUCGUGCAAAGAGUGCAAAGGCAUAAGGGAGCUUAACUGCAAGGCCGACAGGCCGAGCAGAUGCGAAAGCAGGGCUUAGUGAUCCGGUGGUCCCGAAUGGAAGGGCCAUCGCUCAUCGGAUAAAAGGUACUCCGGGGAUAACAGGCUUAUCGCCUCCGAGAGCUCAUAUCGACGAGGCGGUUUGGCACCUCGAUGUCGGCUCAUCACAUCCUGGGGCUGAAGAAGGUCCCAAGGGUUGGGCUGUUCGCCCAUUAAAGUGGUACGUGAGCUGGGUUCAGAACGUCGUAAGACAGUUCGGUCCCUAUCCGCCGUGGUCGCAGGAAACUUGAGGGAUGCUGUUCCUAGUACGAGAGGACCGGAACGGACGAACCUCUGGUGCACCAGUUGUCUCAUCAGAGGCACCGCUGGGUAGCUACGUUCGGAUGGGAUAAGCACUGAAAGCAUAUAAGUGCGAAACCCUUCCCAAGAUUAGGUUUCCCUUCUUGAUUUCGAUCAGGAGUGAAGGUCCCCUGCAGACUACAGGGUUGAUAGGUCACAGGUGUAAGGUCAGUAAUGGCUUCAGCCGAGUGAUACUAAUUGACCGUCAGGCUUUACC